UGCUCUGCACUUCAUCCUUGAGAAGCUGAGAAGAACCACAGGCUUCUUCAGGCAGGUGGUAGAACGUGGGUGUAUCCUGCAGGUGCUCACAGUAUCUCCCUUGGCUCAGGCUCUAGCCUGAUUUUCUGGCUCAUAAGGCCAAAGGGAGCUGGAAAGGUCCCCAGGGCAGGACUCAUGGUGGAGAGAGAAUGGUCUAGAGGAUUCAGGCCUCUGCACACUGUGUCUGGGUCCCUCCUUAAAGAAUGAUAAAGACAAGUAAAGAGCUUGAAGCAGCCUGGAGUCCAGCCAGAAACCUUUAACUGAGCUUUAAAGGAGAUGGUCACAACACUUUUCAUAAUAUUGGCAAAGGCCUCCUGUGGCCAGGUUUGUCCUAGGAUGAGCAUAAUUUAAUAAUGUUAACCUGCUGUAUCUUUGCUUUAAUAUAUCUGCUUGCCCAUCACAAUGACGUUAUGGUUAAUUUCAUCAAUUUGGUAACCUGGCUCACAGGAAGUAGGAAAGUAAGCGAGGACCAGGUGUGGUGACUCAUGCCUGUAAUCCUAGUACUUUGGGUGGCUGAGGCAGGUGGAUUGUUUGAGCCAAAGAGUUCAAGACCAGCCUGCGCACCAUGACAAAAUCCCGUCUCUACAAAAUAUACAAAAAUUAACCAGAUAUGGUAGUGCAUGGCUGUAAUCCCAGCUACUUGGAGGCUGAGGCGGGAGAAUCUCUUGAGCCGGAGAGGCAGAGGGUACAUUGAGCUGAGAUUGCGCCACUGCAUUCCAACCUGGGCAACGAAGUGAGACCCUGUCGCAAAAGAAAAAAAAAUAAAAAGAGAAAGAUGGUGAGGGUUUCCUGUGAAUCAAAUCCUUGAUUGGAUGUUUUCUUAAGUAACCAAGACCUCUGUAAGAAUUCUGUCCUUGAUUCCACAGUAAAGUGGUGUGAAAUUAC
This is a non-coding RNA of Macaca mulatta (Rhesus monkey), 924 nucleotides long. Lineage: Eukaryota; Metazoa; Chordata; Mammalia; Primates; Cercopithecidae. The record is from RefSeq and is a predicted model, not a curated record.